GCGGUUAGGGCGUUGGGAUUUGACUGUCACAGGGACCAACUAAUAAGAGGUUAUAAUUAAUUGGAAUUGUUGUGAUUGUAUGUUUGUCUGUACAGUUAUGGCUGUCCUGUUAUUAUUUUGUGUCUUGAUCAAUAAUGAGUAGCUAAACCAUAUCGACUUUUGGACACUGAUGCGCAGGAGAACCCCUAGCUGUCAAUCAAGCAGGCGCGGUGAACGGAUUAUGACGCUCGAGCGUUCCAAAUGACGCAACAAUACAGUUCCAGAACAGAGAAAGUUAAUGCCGAAGAUGUUGUUCGGUUCCACACUAAAACUGCUGUUUGACAAGUGUGAUUUGAGAAAUAAAACUUGUAGACCUUUCCUGCAGUCUCUGAGGAGAUGGACACCUCUUCUUCUUCUGGACGAUCUCCGUCUCCUACUGGGACUGUCUUCUUACCCCCUCCUAUCAUGUGGAACAGUCUAUACAAGCAGGCAGAGAUGGAGGUUCAGUUCCUGAGGGAAGAGAAGAAGACCUGUACAGAGAAGGAAGCCCACAUGCUUGAGUUGAGGGGGAAGGAUCGAACGAUCCGAAAUCAGAAGAAGGAGAUGGACAGACUUCAAGUGUGCCUCUGGGAGGAGGAAAAGAAGAAGAGGAAUGGUGGAACGGAGAAG
This is a long non-coding RNA of Salvelinus namaycush (lake trout), 648 nucleotides long. RefSeq lists it as uncharacterized. NCBI's taxonomy places the organism in Eukaryota, Metazoa, Chordata, Actinopteri, Salmoniformes, Salmonidae. The record is from RefSeq and is a predicted model, not a curated record. The transcript is spliced from 3 exons.